This 468-nucleotide ribosomal RNA is filed under the name uncultured bacterium. RNAcentral's name for it is "partial 16S ribosomal RNA". It matches the Rfam family "Bacterial small subunit ribosomal RNA", at positions 28 to 507 of the family's 1533-position model. The record is from RNAcentral.
GACGAACGCUGGCGGCGUGCUUAACACAUGCAAGUCGAACGGAAAGGCCCUGCUUUUGUGGGGUGCUCGAGUGGCGAACGGGUGAGUAACACGUGAGUAACCUGCCCUUGACUUUGGGAUAACUUCAGGAAACUGGGGCUAAUACCGGAUAGGAGCUCCUGCUGCAUGGUGGGGGUUGGAAAGUUUCGGCGGUUGGGGAUGGACUCGCGGCUUAUCAGCUUGUUGGUGGGGUAGUGGCUUACCAAGGCUUUGACGGGUAGCCGGCCUGAGAGGGUGACCGGCCACAUUGGGACUGAGAUACGACCCAGACUCCUACGGGACGCAGCGGUGGAGAGUAUUGCACAGUGGGCGGAAGCCUGAUGCAGCGACGCCGCGUGCGGGAUAACGGCCUUCGGGUUGUAAACCGCUUUCGCCUGUGACGAAGCGUGAGUGACGGUAAUGGGUAAAGAAGCACCGGCUAACUACGUG